UACGUAGGGUGCAAGCGUUGUCCGGAAUUAUUGGGCGUAAAGAGCUCGUAGGCGGUCUGUCGCGUCGGCUGUGAAAACUCGGGGCUCAACCCCGAGCCUGCAGUCGAUACGGGCAGACUAGAGUGCUGCAGGGGAGACUGGAAUUCCUGGUGUAGCGGUGAAAUGCGCAGAUAUCAGGAGGAACACCGGUGGCGAAGGCGGGUCUCUGGGCAACAACUGACGCUGAGGAGCGAAAGCGUGGGGAGCGAACGGG
This 253-nucleotide ribosomal RNA is filed under the name uncultured bacterium. Its description in RNAcentral is "partial 16S ribosomal RNA". It matches the Rfam family "Bacterial small subunit ribosomal RNA", at positions 524 to 776 of the family's 1533-position model. The record is from RNAcentral.